Phasianus colchicus (ring-necked pheasant) is the source of this 1891-nucleotide long non-coding RNA. RefSeq lists it as uncharacterized. The record is from RefSeq and is a predicted model, not a curated record. Lineage: Eukaryota; Metazoa; Chordata; Aves; Galliformes; Phasianidae.
CCUUGGGAUUCUAUGAUUCUGUUUAGAACCAUACUUUACAUUUUAUUAAAAUGUAUACCCAUUACCUCAAGCCUCCAUUACUAGCUGUUAUUGGAGACAAGACUUGAGGCAGACAGCAUGAUCCAAAAGUGUUGAAUCUAUAUGGCUGAAUGUUUCUGUCUCAGGGACUGAUUGUUCACCUCUGGGCUAGGUGCUGUAGAAUGCCUUCAUAUCUGUGCUUUGACCGUCCUCAUCUACAGCAGACUGGCUUCAUCUGCAUUUGCCACAGGUAUCCCCACUGCCCCAUCUUGGUGGUUUUCCAUGUAUUUUUUGUGGGCUUUUUUCUAGUUCAGAGUGUUUAAAACAUCAUGAAAUCACAUGUAUUCUGUGCAGUUUCGUAUAUGGAUGGGCAAAACAAUUAAACUGAAGUGGUGAGAAGGAAUGAGAGCAUUUGGGACAGUACUCCAGUCACAUGUGUAAACAGGACGCCAGUAUAGGUCCUUCACCACUAUGCCACAUCACAGAAUUGCAGGGGUUGGAAGGGACCUCUGGAGAUCAUCAUUUCCAAGUCUAUCUCCUUGUCCAGUUAACCCCUUAAUUAAAAACAAAGCAGCACUUAGAUCAGAAUUACUUCUAAAGGUGGUGAAUGUAUGCAUUGUUUCAGAGCUAAGGAGAUGACUUAGGGAUAGUGAGAGAAGUAAAUCUUAACACUCUUUCAGAGGUAUAUCAGAUCAAGUUGUAUGGACGGCAUGGAUAUUUAUGAACACAAUAACUUCAACGAGAGAUUAGAUACCACUGUGCAAUGCAAAUGGGUGAAAGAUGAAUAACAGUAUGUCAUGUGAAACUGUCCAAUGAAACCACAAAUAUAAAUACUAAACUUUGCCCAGACAAGCACAUCACUGUUGCAAACAAGUUAUUACUUCUCCAAAUACCAUUUACCAGAGUCUAACUGCAGUAAUCAAAUAUUUGGUUUGAACAAGCAUCUUAAAUGUUGCCUCAGCUCAGCUAUUCCAGUAGCUCUAUCUGGAACAAAACCCCCGUAGCUGGGAAUUUUUAGGGAGGGACUUCAUGUAUUUGCACAAAGCAGUGAAGCUCAUGACCUGAUGAGGACUGCUGGUGGGUGAUGACAGUUUAAGUGAUCCCUAUAGUUCUGCUCAGUUGCACUGCUCAGAGUUCACUCCUGGUGGUAUGUGCACUCAUGAUCCUCAGCAGAUCUUCAGACCGUUACAUGAAAGAAACGUUUGGAGAACUGAGCUCAAAAAUUGAACUUGCUUGUCUUCCACUAUGAAACCAGCUUUGCUUAAAACAAAUUGUACAGUAGGAUAAACAUUUUACUGGGAAGGAGCUGGGAUGCAGAAAGAUGAAGGGAAGCUUGCAGCAAGUCUCCACAAAUGGAUGGAUGGGAGAAGGCAGGUGGGAGGCUGUCUCAUGAAAGCAACCAACCACCCAAUUUCAUUUCAAUAAUGUUUGUAAUUUUCUCCCUAUUGGGGUUGCUGGAAGUACAGCUGCCCUAUAUUUGUGACCAUGUGCCCAGCUUUUGGUGAAUAUGACCCUAACAAAUACAACAUGAAACAAAUGAUAUACUUGCUGUUUUAAACUUGUGUAGUCAAUAAAUGAAACAAUAAUCUUUCCUAAUUUAGUGUGCUCAGACUUGCCAUUGUGGCCAUGAGAACUCCUCAGCUGCAGAACACAAAGGCAUGCUGCCCACACAAUACACAGUUCCAGCAGCUGUGCCUUCCAUUGACUCAAGCUGGAAGAAAUGUAGAUCAAAUACCAACAAUAACAGAUCAAUGUUGUAAAUAUUAGCAUGAGAAAGAGUGCACCAAACUCCGAGUGUAUCUUUUUUGUCCGGUUGUAAUAAAGUUUCUCAAGAAUUUUGUACAGGGGGACAAGAGUGUGUGUGCACGUGUAU